UCAUGGCAAGCCCUCUUAUGCAUGAGAUACAACAACACCCACAAGUAACCAUUAUAGCACCAAAUGUAGAUAGCGAUAAAAGAACAGACAUUAUCAAACCUUUCCACUGGCCGAACAUCGAGGUCAGCCAUUCCUCCAGCGGAUUAUCUAUCCCAGAAUGCUCGUAUGCGACCCCUUGACAUAGUCCAAUUCAAUCCCCCAAAUUUCCUCAAACAGGUGUCCUCAGGUGGGGUCGCGAACCUCUUCGCUGGGGGAAUGAAGACCCGAUGCCAACCUGGGAAACCUGUAACAACACACAACACACAUAUCAUUAUUCCACCAAUUCCCAUAUACCAUUUCAUUCUACUAUCAUCUCCUCAGAACUUUCUCUGUAACCCUGUCAUCUUGGCACAAGUGGUAGCCACUCGGUGUCCUAUACCCCCUUUUGUUACAGUAUUCUUCAGUUCUUUCCCCUAAGAGUCUAUUCCCCUGGCGCCGUCCUUUGUCUCCUUCACUCGCUUGUAGUCCCGCCGUGUCCUGGGGUCCGCUCCUGGCACCGGUCCGGCUGGUGUUGGUCCUUCUUCCGUCCACGCUGGGGAAAGCUCCUCCUUCCCGGUUUGGAUGAGGUCCGUUAGCGACCUCCCUGGCUCCUGCGCUGGUGUACACUGACUCCAAUGGUACCACGUCUCUCCUUUGUCCCUCAGGCGGACCGCAUGACUC
This is a long non-coding RNA of Esox lucius (northern pike), 699 nucleotides long. The record is from Ensembl. NCBI's taxonomy places the organism in Eukaryota, Metazoa, Chordata, Actinopteri, Esociformes, Esocidae.